GAGAACAUAGCUUAUUCUGGCUAAAGCAUUAGCCUGUCACGCUAAAGAUAACGGGUUCGAUUCCCGUUGUUCUCG
The sequence is a transfer RNA, 75 nucleotides long. It matches the Rfam family "tRNA". Rfam says of the family: Transfer RNA (tRNA) molecules are approximately 80 nucleotides in length. Their secondary structure includes four short double-helical elements and three loops (D, anti-codon, and T loops).